CCCCAAUGGUGCAUGUCUUUAGCUUCAUCCCUAGAAAGGAAUAUAAGACAGAGAGAGACAGCUCUCAAACAGUCUCAAUCUGAGAUUCCAGGAGGCAGAAUCGGCAUUUCACACUUAGGUCAAGGGGUGAGGUAAUAGAAAGAGGACCAUUUUAUAAAUUUGGAAAUGUUAUUCAGUUUUAUCAAUUCAUGAACUGCAGAAUUAUUAAUAUAGAACAAUAUGGUAGAUCGUCUUACCAACCUGCACUUUGAGGAAUCACCUGGAAACAGUCUCCAUGGUUCCUAUAGUUAUGUCAUUGCCCCCAGACAACAGGAAACUCAGAGAAAAAGGUGCUCACAUUCCCAAGAGGUGCACAUUGCUGCAUUUGAGGACCCAAAUUAAUGCGUUCAUGCUUUCACAGCAGGUUCUUUACUCAUUGAACCAUCUCUCCAGCAUCUCUUCAGAUAUGACUUCAUGUAUGGCAAUAUUUAAAAUUAAUUUAGACCUUUGUUAAAAAUAUUAUGUGAAAAUACACUUUUAGCACAAAUAAUGUGAACCAGGCAAAAUGUCUAUUUAAAAACAAGGUUUGUGAAGAUACAUUUUUAGCAUAAGUAAAGUAAACCAAGGCAAAAUGUUUAAGCUUUAAGUCUUUGUUUCUAUGUAUGAUAUGUAAUUGAAUUUGUGUGUGUGUAUGUGUG
Molecule: long non-coding RNA, 677 nt
Organism: Myodes glareolus (Bank vole)
Lineage: Eukaryota; Metazoa; Chordata; Mammalia; Rodentia; Cricetidae
Source: RefSeq, a predicted model, not a curated record